UCCCAGACUCCUACGGGAGGCAGCAGUGAGGAAUAUUGGUCAAUGGGCGGGAGCCUGAACCAGCCAAGUCGCGUGAGGGAUGACGGCCCUAUGGGUUGUAAACCUCUUUUGCCGGGGAGCAAAGUGCCGCACGUGUGCGGUUUGGAGAGCACCCGGAGAAAAAGCAUCGGCUAACUCCGUGCCAGCAGCCGCGGUAAUACGGAGGGUGCGAGCGUUAAUCGGAAUUACUGGGCGUAAAGCGCACGUAGGCUGUAUGACAAGUCAAGGGUGAAAUGCCACGGCUCAACCGUGGAACUGCCUUUGAAACUGUCAAACUGGAGUAUGUGAGAGGGCGGCGGAAUUCCUGGUGUAGGAGUGAAAUCCGUAGAUAUCAGGAGGAACAUCAGUGGCGAAGGCGGCCGCCUGGCACAAAACUGACGCUGAGGUGCGAAAGCGUGGGUAGCAAACAGGAUUAGAUACCCUAGUACG
RNAcentral lists this ribosomal RNA (468 nucleotides) under uncultured bacterium. Its description in RNAcentral is "partial 16S ribosomal RNA". It matches the Rfam family "Bacterial small subunit ribosomal RNA", at positions 329 to 793 of the family's 1533-position model. The record is from RNAcentral.